AGUGACGAACUCGUUGCCGUAGCAACCCACAGAGAGCGGAGACCCAAACAUCCCCCGCUGAGUGCCACCAUGGCCACUUCGCAAAAAUCCACAAACUUUUCAUCCCAAUCUGAUGAAAGAUACUCGGAGGAGGAAGGAGGAAGCACAGUGACAAUGUUUGAAGUGUUUGACGGGAGAAUGAGAGAGAAGAUCGUGCUACAGCGGCUCAUAGUGAUUGCUCGGCUCCCCCGCGAUCUCGCUGACAGGACAGAACUGGGAGCUCAUUAUGAAAAACUCAACUUUCAGUUGAGCAAGCUGUACACGUGGGAUUACAUGACGGGCCUGCUGCUGAUUUAUCCGUCCUGUCUGCUUCAUGUCAUUGAAUCUUCCAGGGAGGUUCUGGUUGCUGUGUUGAAAGACCUUAAAGAUAUGCAGCAACAGUCAGACGGUAUUUUGCUGGAAGCUCCCAAGGUUGUGUUCAUGGCACAUAACCCUCAAAGCAGGCUGUUCCAGCAGUGGAGCUACAAGGUGCUAAAUGCAGAUCAGGUGGCCGGGGACCUUGAGGCUAAGGGAGUUGAGGAUGAGGAAUCGAGCACAGAGACUCUGGUUUGCUGCGUCCUGUCAGCACUGCAGAAACUGAACGAACAGCUUGAAAUAUCUAAGGCCCCUCCUGGAUCCAUGCUGGAUGAGACUCCGGAGCUGAUCGUCCCUCAGGAGGUUCUCCAUCAGCUUUUGGCUCGAGAGGAGCUCCAGAGCCCACAACAGUACCUGCAGGCCUACAACUCACCCUUAAACAUCAGCAUGGACUUUGGACAAGUCAUUCGAAGCAGCUGCCUCACCACAGUUUAACUUUUUGAACGAAAUUAAAGACCUUACCUGUGGACAUGCUUUCCCCAGGAGAUAAACCAUCCAGGAGACCUGCUGAAUGCUCCAGAGGCUGGGGACUGCUGCCAGGAGUGGUGGGGGGCUGUGGAGGAGGAAGAAAGAGGGUAAGAUGGCAGACGUUCAAGACAGGGAUGCGUGGGAUGGAUGACAAACAAACCAAGUCAGGGCAUCCCUCACUGGGAGACAGCUUGGAGGCUGCUGUUGUUCUGUCUGAGCGUAGUACAUGGUAAACCAGGUUCUUCUUCCCGUUGGUCUGAUCACCGGCUUACAUGAUUGGCCUCUGCAGCGUUGAUUCUGGUUCAACUUCUUCCUGCACGGCCACUGUGGUUUUUUACCUGCACCCCAUGCAGUCCUCACUCCCACAGCCUAAACACACUGCCCCCAUUUAACUGAAUGGAAGGACUGACGUUUUUCCCAUUUUGCCAGAUUUAGAGUGAACGCAGCCUUAGAUGUUAAAACUUUCUCUGCACUAUUCUGCACAAUACCGCAAAAUAUUAUCCAUAAUGUGCAACAAAUAUAUUAAUUAAAAUGGAAA
Molecule: RNA transcript, 1399 nt
Organism: Thunnus maccoyii (southern bluefin tuna)
Lineage: Eukaryota; Metazoa; Chordata; Actinopteri; Scombriformes; Scombridae
Gene name: testis-expressed protein 47
Exons: 12
Source: RefSeq, a predicted model, not a curated record